UACGAAGGGGGCUAGCGUUGUUCGGAAUUACUGGGCGUAAAGCGCACGUAGGCGGAUUUUUAAGUCAGGGGUGAAAUCCCAGGGCUCAACCCUGGAACUGCCUUUGAUACUGAGGAUCUGGAGUUCGGGAGAGGUGAGUGGAAUUCCGAGUGUAGAGGUGAAAUUCGUAGAUAUUCGGAGGAACACCAGAAGCGAAGGCGGCUCACUGGCCCGAUACUGACGCUGAGGCGCGAAAGCGUGGGGAGCAAACAGG
This 253-nucleotide ribosomal RNA is filed under the name uncultured bacterium. RNAcentral's name for it is "partial 16S ribosomal RNA". It matches the Rfam family "Bacterial small subunit ribosomal RNA", at positions 524 to 776 of the family's 1533-position model. The record is from RNAcentral.